This 410-nucleotide ribosomal RNA is filed under the name uncultured eukaryote. RNAcentral's name for it is "bacterial SSU rRNA". It matches the Rfam family "Eukaryotic small subunit ribosomal RNA", at positions 592 to 1018 of the family's 1831-position model. The record is from RNAcentral.
CAAUAGCGUAUACUAAUGUUGCUGCAGUUAAAAGCUCGUAGUCGGAUUUCAGUUUACUUAAAUUAAAUCUUUCAGAUUUUUAUGCAAGUAAUCUAAUGACAGGAACAUACAUAAUAUUAAUUUAUUAUGAAUUGAGACUGUCUCAUUUACUUUGAGAAAAUUAGAGUGUUCAAAGCAGGUAUAUGCCUGAAUAUUACUCUUGGAAUAAUAAGAUAGGACUUCAGUUCUAGUUUGUUGGUGAUCUGGGACCGGAGUAAUGAUUAAUAGGGACGGUUGGGGUCAUUCAUACUGCAAAGCGAGAGGUGAAAUUCUUGGACCUUUGUAUGAUGAACAACUGCGAAAGCAUUUGACUAGGACGUUCCCGUUGAUCAAGAACGAAAGUUGGGGGAUCAAAGAUGAUCAGAUACCAU